This 329-nucleotide long non-coding RNA is filed under the name Amborella trichopoda. Its description in RNAcentral is "long non-coding RNA (ATRI_LNC003650)". Lineage: Eukaryota; Viridiplantae; Streptophyta; Magnoliopsida; Amborellales; Amborellaceae. The record is from RNAcentral.
CCAAGUCUCUUAAAUUGCGCAAGAAUGUUUUGUUUUUUAUUUCUAUUUUUUUCUCUAUUUGCACCCAUGCUUUGCUCUUAAGCACCAAAACAAAUGGGGCAAUACCAAAUGAGAAUUUCCACCCAAGUCUCUUAAAUUGCGCAAGAAUGUUUUGUUUUUUAUUUUUAUUUUUUUGGGUGAGUCAAUGGGGAGAAGCCCUUGCCUUAUUAGGAAUUGAGCAAAAUUUUUUUUUUUUUUGGACGAGUCAAUGGAGAGAAGCCCCUACCUUGUUAGGAAUUGAGUCUAAGACAUAAUGUUGCAAAUUGUCAAGUGCUAACUAGUUAAGCUGG